This 260-nucleotide ribosomal RNA is filed under the name uncultured archaeon. RNAcentral's name for it is "partial 16S ribosomal RNA". It matches the Rfam family "Archaeal small subunit ribosomal RNA", at positions 748 to 1008 of the family's 1478-position model. The record is from RNAcentral.
AGGGUGUAAACGCUGCAGACUUGGUGUUGGAAAUCCUUCGAGGGUAUUCAGUGCCGGAGAGAAGUUGUUAAGUCUGCUACUUGGGGAGUACGUCCGCAAGGAUGAAACUUAAAGGAAUUGGCGGGGGAGCACCGCAACGGGAGGAGCGUGCGGUUUAAUUGGAUUCAACACCGGAAAACUCACCAGGGGAGACUGUUACAUGAAACCCAGACUAAUGAUCUUGGUUGAUUUCAGAGAGGAGGUGCAUGGCGUCAGUGACU